UUUGUGCAUAUGUGGUUCUUACUUACCUAGUUUGACUUAGAUUGUGCAUGAAAUUAAUUUGGUGUAUGGUUUAGACAUGAGACCAAUUGGGAUCCCUUUGUAAUUGAAAUAUCUUGAUUUUGAUCAUGAUUUACUUGCUGUUUUAGGAUUUUUCCAUCCUUUGGACCCUAGGCUUGGCCUAGUGGUCUUGUUACUUAUGUUUGA
RNAcentral lists this long non-coding RNA (204 nucleotides) under Lathyrus oleraceus (garden pea). Its description in RNAcentral is "Pisum sativum (pea) long non-coding RNA (PSAT_LNC041364)". The record is from RNAcentral. Lineage: Eukaryota; Viridiplantae; Streptophyta; Magnoliopsida; Fabales; Fabaceae.